CAGUAGCCGCGGGAAUACAGAGGGUGCGAGCGUUAAUCGGAUUUACUGGGCGUAAAGCGCACGCAGGCGGUUUGUUAAGUCAGAUGUGAAAUCCCCGAGCUUAACUUGGGAACUGCAUUUGAAACUGGCAAGCUAGAGUCUUGUAGAGGGGGGUAGAAUUCCAGGUGUAGCGGUGAAAUGCGUAGAGAUCUGGAGGAAUACCGGUGGCGAAGGCGGCCCCCUGGACAAGGACUGACGCUCAGGUGCGAAAGCGUGGGGAGCAAACAGGAUUAGAUACCCCAGUAGUCCCUGUCUCUUAUAC
RNAcentral lists this ribosomal RNA (301 nucleotides) under uncultured bacterium. RNAcentral's name for it is "partial 16S ribosomal RNA". It matches the Rfam family "Bacterial small subunit ribosomal RNA", at positions 509 to 807 of the family's 1533-position model. The record is from RNAcentral.